This 974-nucleotide ribosomal RNA is filed under the name Cibicidoides lobatulus. Its description in RNAcentral is "SSU rRNA". It matches the Rfam family "Eukaryotic small subunit ribosomal RNA", at positions 1206 to 1814 of the family's 1831-position model. Lineage: Eukaryota; Foraminifera; Rotaliida; Anomalinidae. The record is from RNAcentral.
CGGGAAAUCUUACCGGGUCCGGACACACUGAGGAUUGACAGGCAAUAUUAAUACGUUUUGCUUCGGUAAUCGUAUUAUGUUAAAUAUGCUAGUCCUUUCAUGAUUAUGUGAUAGGUGGUGCAUGGCCGUUCUUAGUUCGUGGAGUGAUCUGUCUGCUUAAUUGCGUUUCACUAAGGGCCUAUAAAUUUACGUGUGUUGCAUCGCACUUUGACCCCUUUCUUUAAUUAGAGAGCGCGUGUCUUAGUUUUCGCUUUGCUCAUACAAUUAGGUCCUGAAAGCAACGAACGUGACCGCAACCUCUUGUUGCCUUUAUACCAAACAUGUUUUGCGUCAAUUUUCAAAUUGCGCGCAUUUCAUGAAAAAAGGCUUUUUAAACUAGAGGGACCGCUGUUACUUUCUUAAACCAGAGGAAGGUUGCGGCAAUAACAGGUCUGUGAUGCCCUUAGAUGUUCCGGGCUGCACACGUGCUACAAUGAUUAUUGCAGUGAGCAUCUCAUUUUUACACACCGCAUGCGCGAGUCCAUUUAUUCACCUUCGGGUGUUUUAAAUGUGUAUCUCUGCGCGCGGUAAAGCCUGCUUCGACAGUAAGUGGGUAAUCAAUUAGAAGUAAUGAUUUCCUUUUUUUUAGCACACAUAUAUACGGCGUCUAUGCCCGGGUUACCUUGUUGUAGCUUUUGUGCGUAUAGAUGUUUUUUCCGUAUGUGCGAUUGUCAAUUCAUGGUGGGGACAGACCAUUGUUAAUUGUUGGUCUCGGUCUUAACUAGGAAUGCCUUGUACGGGUCUUUGGUUCAACAAACCACCCGGAAUACGUCCCUGCCCUUUGUACACACCGCCCGUCGCUCUUACCGAUGGACUUCUCUGUGAGUUUGAGGGACUGGGAACGCAGGAAUUUAUUUCUGCACACCUAUGGAAACUUAAACGAACAGUGUGGUCUAAAGGAAAGAGAAGUCGUAACAAGGCAUCGGUAGGUGAAC